RNAcentral lists this ribosomal RNA (446 nucleotides) under uncultured bacterium. RNAcentral's name for it is "partial 16S ribosomal RNA". It matches the Rfam family "Bacterial small subunit ribosomal RNA", at positions 338 to 795 of the family's 1533-position model. The record is from RNAcentral.
CCUACGGGAGGCUGCAGUCGAGAAUCAUUCACAAUGGGGGAAACCCUGAUGGUGCGACGCCGCGUGGGGGAAUGAAGGUCUUCGGAUUGUAAACCCCUGUCAUGUGGGAGCAAAUUAAAAAGAUAGUACCACAAGAGGAAGAGAAGGCUAACUCUGUGCCAGCAGCCGCGGUAAUACAGAGGUCUCAAGCGUUGUUCGGAAUCACUGGGCGUAAAGCGUGCGUAGGCGGUUUCGUAAGUCGUGUGUGAAGGCCGCGGGCUCAAGCCGCGGACUGCCUAUGAUACUGCGAGACUAGAGUAAGUGAGGGGGGAGCGGAAUUCUCGGUGUAGGAGUGAAAUGCGUAGAUAUCGGGAGGAACACUCGUGGCGAAGGCGAGUACCUGGACAUUAACUGACGCUGAGGCACGAAGGCGAGGGGAGCGAAAGGGAUUAGAUACCCCUGUAGUC